This 549-nucleotide ribosomal RNA is filed under the name uncultured archaeon. RNAcentral describes it as "bacterial SSU rRNA". It matches the Rfam family "Archaeal small subunit ribosomal RNA", at positions 876 to 1429 of the family's 1478-position model. The record is from RNAcentral.
GCACAGCAACGGGUGGAGCGGCGGUUUAAUUGGAUUCAACGCCGGAAAUCUCACCGGAGGCGACGGUUAUAUGAAGGCCAGGCUGGUGACCUUGCCUGAUUUUCCGAGAAGUGGUGCAUGGCCGUCGUCAGUUCGUACCGUGAGGCGUUCUGUUAAGUCAGACAACGAACGAGACCCUCAUCUUUAGUUGCUACUGGUAAGUCCGCUUAUCAGGCACACUAAAGAAACCGCUGGCGAUAAGUCAGAGGAAGGUGAGGGCAACGGUAGGUCAGUAUGCCCUGAAUCCUCCGGGCUACACGCGCGCUACAAAGGCUAGGACAAUGGGUCUCAACACCGAAAGGUGACGGUAAUCCCGAAACCUAGUCACAGUUCGGAUUGAGGGUUGAAACUCACCCUCAUGAAGCUGGAAUCCGUAGUAAUCGCGGAUCAACAUCCCGCGGUGAAUAUGCCCCUGCUCCUUGCACACACCGCCCGUCAAACCAUGCGAGUUGGGCCUGAGUGAGGAUAUAGUCUUUGCUAUGUUCGAACUUAGACUUAGUAAGCGGGGUU